This 1433-nucleotide ribosomal RNA is filed under the name Limosilactobacillus fermentum. RNAcentral describes it as "bacterial SSU rRNA". It matches the Rfam family "Bacterial small subunit ribosomal RNA". The record is from RNAcentral. Lineage: Bacteria; Bacillati; Bacillota; Bacilli; Lactobacillales; Lactobacillaceae.
GUCGAACGCGUUGGCCCAAUUGAUUGAUGGUGCUUGCACCUGAUUGAUUUUGGUCGCCAACGAGUGGCGGACGGGUGAGUAACACGUAGGUAACCUGCCCAGAAGCGGGGGACAACAUUUGGAAACAGAUGCUAAUACCGCAUAACAGCGUUGUUCGCAUGAACAACGCUUAAAAGAUGGCUUCUCGCUAUCACUUCUGGAUGGACCUGCGGUGCAUUAGCUUGUUGGUGGGGUAACGGCCUACCAAGGCGAUGAUGCAUAGCCGAGUUGAGAGACUGAUCGGCCACAAUGGGACUGAGACACGGCCCAUACUCCUACGGGAGGCAGCAGUAGGGAAUCUUCCACAAUGGGCGCAAGCCUGAUGGAGCAACACCGCGUGAGUGAAGAAGGGUUUCGGCUCGUAAAGCUCUGUUGUUAAAGAAGAACACGUAUGAGAGUAACUGUUCAUACGUUGACGGUAUUUAACCAGAAAGUCACGGCUAACUACGUGCCAGCAGCCGCGGUAAUACGUAGGUGGCAAGCGUUAUCCGGAUUUAUUGGGCGUAAAGAGAGUGCAGGCGGUUUUCUAAGUCUGAUGUGAAAGCCUUCGGCUUAACCGGAGAAGUGCAUCGGAAACUGGAUAACUUGAGUGCAGAAGAGGGUAGUGGAACUCCAUGUGUAGCGGUGGAAUGCGUAGAUAUAUGGAAGAACACCAGUGGCGAAGGCGGCUACCUGGUCUGCAACUGACGCUGAGACUCGAAAGCAUGGGUAGCGAACAGGAUUAGAUACCCUGGUAGUCCAUGCCGUAAACGAUGAGUGCUAGGUGUUGGAGGGUUUCCGCCCUUCAGUGCCGGAGCUAACGCAUUAAGCACUCCGCCUGGGGAGUACGACCGCAAGGUUGAAACUCAAAGGAAUUGACGGGGGCCCGCACAAGCGGUGGAGCAUGUGGUUUAAUUCGAAGCUACGCGAAGAACCUUACCAGGUCUUGACAUCUUGCGCCAACCCUAGAGAUAGGGCGUUUCCUUCGGGAACGCAAUGACAGGUGGUGCAUGGUCGUCGUCAGCUCGUGUCGUGAGAUGUUGGGUUAAGUCCCGCAACGAGCGCAACCCUUGUUACUAGUUGCCAGCAUUAAGUUGGGCACUCUAGUGAGACUGCCGGUGACAAACCGGAGGAAGGUGGGGACGACGUCAGAUCAUCAUGCCCCUUAUGACCUGGGCUACACACGUGCUACAAUGGACGGUACAACGAGUCGCGAACUCGCGAGGGCAAGCAAAUCUCUUAAAACCGUUCUCAGUUCGGACUGCAGGCUGCAACUCGCCUGCACGAAGUCGGAAUCGCUAGUAAUCGCGGAUCAGCAUGCCGCGGUGAAUACGUUCCCGGGCCUUGUACACACCGCCCGUCACACCAUGAGAGUUUGUAACACCCAAAGUCGGUGGGGUAACCUUUUAGGAGCC